ACUAUGUAUAUAGAUGACUCAUGUUACGAACUUUCCGUCAGUCACAUGUCCAAUGUCCUUGACCUCAUUUUCAUGGUUCAGUGACUACUUGAAAAAAAAGUUAAGAUUUUUUGUAAUGUUAAUUUCUCUCUUAUUAUAAGUAAUUGGAUAACUAUAUUUGGUAUAUGCGUACCUUGCAAGGUCCUCAUAUCCGUCAGACAGUUUUCACUUGACCUCGACCUCAUUUCAUGGAUCAGUGAACAAGGUUAAGUUUUGGUGGUCAAGUCCAUAUCUCAGAUACUAUAAGCAAUAGGGCUAGUAUAUUCGGUGUAUGGAAGGACUGUAAGGUGCACAUGUCCAACUGGCAGGUGGCAUCUGACCUUGACCUCAUUUUCAUGGUUCAGUGGUUAUAGUUAAAUUUUUGUGUUUUGGUCUGUUUUUCUCAUACUAUAUGCAAUAGGUCUACUAUAUUUGUUGUAUGGAAUGAUUGUAAGGUGUACAUGUCUAGCGGGCAGAUGUCAUGUGUCCUUGACCUCAUUUUCAUGGUUCAGUGGUCAAAGUUAAGUUUUUGAGUUUUGGUCUUUUUAUCUAAUACUAUAUGCCAUAGGUCAACUAUAUUUGAUGUAUGGAAAUAUUUUAUUAUCUUUAUGUCAGUCGCGCAGGUUUUAUUUGACCUUGACCUCAUUUUCACAGUUCAUUGCACAGUGUUAAGUAUUUGUGUUUUUUUCUGAAACUAUAAGUAAUAGGUCAACUAUAUAUGUUGUAUAGGAG
Molecule: long non-coding RNA, 750 nt
Filed under: Mytilus galloprovincialis (Mediterranean mussel)
Lineage: Eukaryota; Metazoa; Mollusca; Bivalvia; Mytilida; Mytilidae
Source: RNAcentral